Peromyscus californicus insignis is the source of this 5073-nucleotide long non-coding RNA. RefSeq lists it as uncharacterized. The transcript is spliced from 3 exons. The record is from RefSeq and is a predicted model, not a curated record. NCBI's taxonomy places the organism in Eukaryota, Metazoa, Chordata, Mammalia, Rodentia, Cricetidae.
UUCUGCGUCUUUGGUUCCAUUUCCUCAUCCCUGCCCUAGAAGAUCAUGGUUUCCUUAGGCCUGGAUGUUAUGAUGACCCUAUUCUCUCCCUUUCUCUCUCUGGGAUCACCAGAAGUUCAGCUGAACUGACUGGGAAAAAAAAUACAUUUCUAAGUUUUGGUUUUCACUGAGAAGAAAGACCUGGGCUUUCACACUGUCCCUCUAUCCUCCAACUCCAUGGGUCAGCCAUAGACAUGCGUGCUCCUGUUCCAUGGAAAGCAAAAAGAACACACCUAUUCUCAUGUAAAGAUCCAUCAGUCAAGCCCUCUUCCCUGGGGAUCAGAUGAUGAAUAAAUUAGAUCUGUAUAAAUACAUGUUGCAAGCACCCUCAUAUUCAGAGCCGUUAUAAUAAUUCGGCAAAGCCAGUAUGAAAAUGAGACAGUAACAUCAAGGAGAAAGGAUUGGGAAAGAGAGCCUAUUCUACUCUGGGGUCUAGCCUGGCCUUCAGUUUGGUACCGUUAGUACCUGGACCUUAUCUGUGUCCUUGGUAAACAGAGAAAACCCAUUUUUAGCUACCUCCCCACUUUUGACCUCUUUUCCUGUGAUCUAACACAUUGCAUAUAACGCCUGAUAGUUUCUGCUAGAUAAGGCUUUGGGCUAUUUUUUAAACUGAGCAUUUAGGCUGAUAAGAGUCAUAUUUUUUCCAUCUGUACUUUCAACAUACUGCCAAAGGGGCUGGGUAGGAGAUAUGUUUUUGAACAAACAGAAUACUAAAUUGAGGCGAUGGAUCAUAAGCUUAAGCAAGGAAGCUCUGCCUUCACCAUCCACUAAAAAAGGUCAGGAGACAGAGAGUUGGAAUGGCAAUUGAAAGUUUUAAUAAUGCAGCCAUCAAAAAGCUCAGUGAAGCUUUUCUUCCCCCUCCUGGCCCAGCAAAGAUAAAGUCCUCAUCAGAGCACAGGAAAUAUGCCCAGUUCCAUCCCAAACGGCGUGCGGUUCUGGGGAUGGAUCACAGCAGCCCUGGCUCUGAUCUCCUAGAAAUCCAUCAAACUUGUCUCUCCAGGGCUUGGGCUUGAGUCAUUACCCUAGGAGGAAUGGUAAGGCACCCAUGCAUCGGCCUUUUAUGUGCUUGAAAAAAUAGGCACUGCUUCAUCUUCCCCAGCAAGCUAAGCCUUCCUCCGGCCCCAGGACCUUCCCCCCUUGUUCCCUUGCCAUGGUGGAGGCAGUGAGGUGGGACAGCCUAUAAGAAGUCCUCACUCCUUGAUCGAUGGCCUAUGAAGAAGCGUGAGAGAGGCCUUAGUUCAUCACAUCUUACACCAAAGCCUUUGCAAUGACGUCAUGGAAACUGGAACAGGAUGGAAGUUCACCCAGGCUGGACAGACCUGUGAGUUUGUGGGAGUUAAAUCCUGUGUUUUGCCCUUCAUGCCUUGCCCUUUUCAGAUUGUCCCUGUAGUUUGGAUGCCCCUCAAAGGUCCGUGUGUCAGAAGCGUUGUUCUCACAUUGGCCCUAUUGGAAAUGGUAGAAAGCUUUGUGGGCGGGGCUUGUGAGAGGUUUUGGGUCAUUGGGGACGUGCUCUUGAGGAAGACUAUGAAGGCACUUCUGUCCUUCAUGACUGGACUAUCACAUGAACAAUUGUUCCUCCAUAUUCUCCUGGACAAGAUGUGCUAACUUAUCACAGGCCCUAGGCAGUGUGGCCAACUGAUGUGGACUUAAUCCUCCCAAGCUUUGGGCUAAGAAGAACCUCCCUCUUUAGAAGUUGAUUGUUUCAGUUACAGUAACAGAAAGCAGACUAUUAUGUUUUUCAUUAUCACUUCCAUCACAAAGCUUGACAUUGUAAAGCCUGCCCAUUUUCUCAGAAGUUAACAUCAUGAUCAGCUGAUUUAAAAAGUUAAUUGAGCAAUGGUGCCAAAUGAUGUUAAUGGUGAAUUACUUCUUGCAGUUUAGAUGCUGCUGUUGGAGAAAUCUGUUGAUCAAGUAAGUAAAUCAUUUUUUACCCAUAGUAGUUCCCAGUCUUAUAGUAGCUUAAAUCCACAUAUUUGCACAUUCAGGGUCUUGGGACAUUGGCUUCUGGCUUGAGCUUAACUUACCUCUCUGACUCUGUUGAAUUUUUCAGACCUUCUCCAGUCUGUCUUAACUGGUUCUCAGCUUUAUUUGAUGUUUACUUAAUAUGGCAUGGAAGAUACUGGUCUUCAGUCCAAAUUGCAACUUGACUUUAUAAGCAGUGUUCUCAAUAGCUGGACAUGAAUGUCUGUUUUUGAAGCUUACCUUCGCUCCUGGUUCCCGGGAGGAAGACGGCAUGAUUCACACCUGUGCAGACAUCUACAACAGUGUUUUCUCUUCCAUUGGAAAAUGCUUUACUGCUCUCCUUCUGGGGCUUUGGUGUAAAUGAUCACUAAAAUACGACAGGUAUUUUCCCCAGGUCAGGUCUGUCAGCACUUAGAAUCCAUGCGGGCACACAUCCCAAACAUUAGCAAGAAUCUGGGGCUGCUGAAGCAAUUACCUAUGGAUUUUUGAGUUUCUCCUUGGCAAGGUCUGGUUCUUGCCUGGCUUCCCAGUGCUUGGUGGGAAGUACAACUCGAUCACAGGUCACAGUCCAGCCUUACUAAGGACGGCUGCACCAAAGUCAGUGAAGAGGAAUGUAGGCGCCUGCACUCAUUGUUCUUUGAAGCUUGAGCAUCCAAUGAAACAUAUUCCCAAAUGGUUGGUCAUAAAGACAAGACUACGAUUUACAGUGUGAUCCUUCUAGGGGUCAAAGUGAACCCCAAUUGCCCUGCCUUUCUACAAAACAUCCUGUAGGGUACUAUUCAAUCUGUUUAACAUGUGACUUUAAUUAACCUUCCAAUUGGGGUGUGUGUGUGUGUGUGUGUGUGUGUGUGUGUGUGUGUGUGUGUGUGUACACACGUGGGUACAUGCACCAACACUUAGUGUCUCUAUCACUUUCCACCUUAUUACUUUUGUUUCAGAGUCUCUCACUGAACUUGGGUUCACCAUUUUUGUUACGCUGGUUGACCAGCAAGCUCCAGGAUCUUCCUUCCUCCCUGACUCCCAGCUCUGGGUUAUAGACUUCUAUUGUCAUGGGUAAGUAGAAGCAUGUGUCUUCCAACCCAAUGUUACAGCUUUAUUGGAACCUGAGAACACCCAAGGCCAAUGGCCAAGGAGCUUCCCAUGCACAUCGAGAACUAGUCAUCAACCAGCCCGAAGCCAAAGCAGAACUAACGUGAGCCCUGCACACCUGCCCAUCUCAAGAAGCGCCCAUCUCUUUAAACAGUAACUAUUCUCAUUAUCUGAGUUCAGCAUUUGACUAAUCCUCAUUAUAACUUGAACAUGGUGUUAUUGCCGGGCAUGAGGAUGGAUUAAAAAUAAUUUGCCUUCAGUGAUACAACGUUUGCUUUAAAGACUAAUUUGACCUUGAGAAGAGGCACUGCUCUCACAGACAAUGACUGAUCAGCUACGGCCAUCAUCUUGAGGAGAAAGGGUAAGCAACUGGAGUAAGAGGAUGCAUAAACUCACUGUGAGGUCCUGAGAUGAGGUGUCUGGACUUCUCUGUGACUCUCAACAGUUUGGGGCUUUUGAUGACAGGUGAACAGGGACCAAGAGGAUUCAGUGUGGCACGGUCAACGUGUAGCCGUGAGCAGGUCAGCCUUGGGCCAGCUGCUACGUCUCCGGGUCUUCAUUUCUUCAUCUUGAAAAUGGAUGCUCUCCAGAAGUAUUAGGCCCUCGGGUCAAGGACCGAGAAACAGAGCCUGGCCCUCUACCACAUCAGAUCUCAUGUCUCUGUACUUGGAGUCUCUGGGUCAGAGACCCUGGGAAUUCAACAGGAGCUUGGGAGAAUUCUAAGGCAGUGUCCAGAGGCAUACAUAUUGCUUAGCUUCCACAUUCCCUGUUUUGUUUGGUUAGUUGGUUGGCUGGGGUUUGUUGUUGUUGGUUUAUUUUUCCAAAAUUGAAGUCUGGAUUGUAAUUUUGAGGCCCACAUAUUGACAAACACUAACCUGUCCUGGUUCUAAGUUACCAGCCACCAUGACAUAUCUGAAUUCAAUUUGAAUGCUGGACACAAGCAAUUGAAACCUUUCCUCACUCACUCCAUCCCUUUCUCUAAACAGGAGGAUGCAGGGUCCUGCCUUGCCUGUCUCCAUUGAGGUGAGGAUUCGUGACAGUUUCCAAGCCUUCAUCAACUUCAUUUUCUCCUGCCUGAGCCAUCCCUGUGCCUAACCUACUUACUGUCAGCCUUUACAUUUCUUUAAUAGUCUGCUCUUUUUUUUCUUUGCUUCAUUGUAAGUAAUUCUCCCUCUGAAAUUACCCAUGCAUGUGCGAAGUGAAUGUUUAAUAAUACUCAAGAAAGUAACUGUGUAGUAAUUAAAUACAGUCCACAUCUGCUUCACCUGAAAUGGUCUUGUCUGCCACCUUUGGGACACAAAGUAUCCUUUGGUGAGGACACAAGCCUAAGAAUCUGGUGGGCAAGUCUGUGGAGUGUUCCAUUGUCAAGACUGGGUGAAACCAUAACCCAGCCAAACCAUAGCCCUAUUCUCCUCCAUCCUCGGCUUUGUUCUCUGCCCAGGGCCAAGGGCUCCAGAAGGACAGCCUUGGGGAAGCUGCUUUCCAUCAGUGACAGGAGUGAGACUCAGACAGCAGCCACGGAACAAUUAAUCUUCCAAAUGAGAACUCAAUUACCAAACAUGUGUUCCAUGAGCAAGGCCCUCGUCUCAUCAGCCAGAGCUGCGAUUAUAUGCAAAUUUUAUAUAUAUAUAUAUAUAUAUAUAUAUAUAUAUAUAUAUAUAUAUGAAUGGAAUCUAUAUGUAUUCCAUUCAUAAUUAUCUCCUUUUAAUGCAGUCUCCCUGACGAUGAUGUAUGCUGUAACUGUUGACUCCUCACAGUUGGAAUUGUUAACGUAUUGUGAAGAUUUGCACAGAAUCAUUCUUUCCCAAGCUGACUUUUGCUGUUAAAAUUAGAAAGACCAAUAUGAGUCUGAACAGCAUGAAUAGGAAGAGUAGAUGAUCAAUUCUUAUGCCUGGAAGGGCGAUUGCCUCCCUGGAGCCGGGAUUUCUUGCUUUCACAUUUUAUAGCUUCUUGUGCUUAUUAUAAUAAAGACAAUAAAGUGGA